GCGGUUAUACUUGUUCUCCCACUCAAAGAUAAAAUAUGAAUAAAAUUUAAUAAGUUUGUCUAAUAAAUGAUAUGAGAAAAUAUUUUCAAAAAUAGUCUAAUAAACUGGAUUAGUACCCAGGUAAAAUAAUAAAUUAAGUAAGGUAAUACCUAAAUUAAAUGGCAGUAUUUAGAGGAAGUAGAGAAACUUGAAGUUUAGAAAAUCCACUUUAUUGUUAAUUCUUUAAAAGUUUAAGUAUGGCUGUCCAAAAAUAAGUGUUUACUUAAAUUGUAGUCAAGCAGCAUUUAAUUUAGAGAAAAUCUUGAGUUGCAAAAAUUAGUUUAAUAAAAUUUAUUAAAACAAGGAUUUACAAGUAAAAACAAUUUUGAAAAAAUCUAAGUACA
Molecule: ribosomal RNA, 383 nt
Filed under: Tigriopus fulvus
Lineage: Eukaryota; Metazoa; Arthropoda; Copepoda; Harpacticoida; Harpacticidae
Description: partial small subunit ribosomal RNA
Source: RNAcentral